UACUCUUCAGUCUCAUCUCGCUGGAAUAGUGUUGUCAUGUGUGAAGAUAUACACGAAAUUGAGUAAGUAACUGAAGUACUUUCAUUUAUGGUGGGCGAUGUACUACUGCUCUUGUGUCUUUUGUGUGUGGAAGCUGAGCUUAGACUCUACUACAUUUACCCGCGCAGUGCUCUUUGCUUAGUAACAGGUGCACUGCAAACACAUGCAGUUGGCUAUGCCCCAUGUCAUUUUAGAAAAGAAUGGAAAAUAUGUACAUUUAGGAUAUUCAAAGGAUGUAGUAAAAACUGCUACUGUACAACAAUCUAGCUGGUUAUCUUCAGUUAAUAGCUAUAUUUGCGCGGGAGGGUCUGAUCCGUUAAUGGGGGAGGGGUGGUGAGGGGUAUGCACAGAACUAGAACUUGAUCGAACACGUUGCAUGCUCACGAGAACAGAGGGCUGGCGUCGUUUCGGUGUGUUCAUUUUAAGCCAAGUAUUCUAUUUUUAAAGUUUUCUUUUCUUAUCCAACCCAGGUGUUUAAUGCACACAUGCACUUGUGGUCUUAACCGAAGAUUAAUCAAAUGACUUCUGCUGCACUGUUCGAAGUCUGUAAGAUCAGUGCUGAAUUCAAAAGAAUAACCACAGUUCCCCUGCAAUCCAAGCAACUGUUGCUGAAUUGGCUGAUUUGUACAAGAUGCACCAUUUCUGAGGACUUCUGGCACAGUGGCCUGCACUGUUCAAAGUUUGCAAGAUCAGUGCUGAAUUGAAAAGAAUCACCACAGUCCCACUGCAAUGCCCUGCACUGUUCCAAGUCCACAAGGUCAUGGAUGAAGUUGCCGUAGACGAAGCAAUUGAAGACAUCACUAUUGGAAUCUGCUCUGACAGAAGAUUGGGCAUCCCACCCUUAGGACAUUGUCAGUUUUAGUGUAUGUCUGUCACACACGUGACACCCAAUCGGAAAGGACUCUUUUUUUCAGCAACUAAAAAACAGCAGUUAUUGGUGGUCCACAAAGAGGACAACCAAAUGAAUGGUGGACUGCCAGAUGCACGCGCACAUGCAUACAGUAUACGCGCAUGAACGCACACACGCACACCUACAAGUGUGGA
Long non-coding RNA from Engraulis encrasicolus (European anchovy), 1083 nucleotides. RefSeq lists it as uncharacterized. The record is from RefSeq and is a predicted model, not a curated record. The transcript is spliced from 6 exons. Lineage: Eukaryota; Metazoa; Chordata; Actinopteri; Clupeiformes; Engraulidae.